GACAGAGGAUGCAAGCGUUAUCCGAAAUGAUUGGGCGUAAAGCGUCUGUAGGUGGAUUUUCAAGUCCGCCGUCAAAUCCCAGGGCUCAACCCUAGAUAGGCGGUGGAAACUCCCAAGCUGGAGUACAGUAGGGGUAGAGGGAAUUUCUGGUGGAGUCAUGAAAUGUGUUGAGAUCAGAAAGAACACCAAUGGAGAAAGCACUUUGCUGGGCCGACACUAACACUGAGAGAUGAAAUCUAGGGGAGCAAAUGGG
RNAcentral lists this ribosomal RNA (253 nucleotides) under uncultured cyanobacterium. RNAcentral's name for it is "partial 16S ribosomal RNA". It matches the Rfam family "Bacterial small subunit ribosomal RNA", at positions 524 to 776 of the family's 1533-position model. The record is from RNAcentral. Lineage: Bacteria; Bacillati; Cyanobacteriota.